CCAGAGACUUCGAUCCAGUUCAUCCCCAAAUCGAUCCAGACCGCAUACGCCGCGAACCCUAGCCACACCCCCACCGCCGCCGACCGCGCCCUCCACCACACCACCGCUGCCCCGCCUGCCCCAACCACUCCCCGCUGCUGCUGCAGACUCCGCCCUCCACACCCCACCGCUGCAGACUGCUGCCGCGGUCGACCCCACAUCACAGCGCCGUCGAGGACACGGACGACACCACCAGCGCCGGCCUUCCACGUCGCGGAGCCACUCCACUGGCGACCACCCCCCUUCUCCGCGAGCUUGGUCCACACCGAGCAGGCCUUCUCCAAAGCAUUGAGCGGGGCUGCCUCCUCUACGUCAUCUCCCCCGAGCAGCGGAGCGUCCUCCCUCCCGCGAGCGGCUCUGUCUCCUCAGUACCCUUCCCCUAGGCAGCCACGUCAUGUAUUUCCUUUCACCAGUGUCCUCUUCAAUAGGCUAUUUGGGUGAAAUUGGUCAAGAAUGGACAAGAGUUGGAUGGAUAAAGCUAGAAAUACACAAGCAUAUAUUGACGGGGUAAAGAAAUUCAUAGAUUUUGCUUUUACUCAUUCAGCAAGAGGGAACACUAUAUCAUGUCCGUGUAGAAAUUACCUCAUGGUGCUGGAACAUGACCACCACAGGGCAAGCUCAAGGGCGAUGUAUCUCAUAGCCAUACACAACCAUUUGGAAGUGGAGAAGUCCAUGGCAAAAGCAGUAAUGCGACCACAAGCAAGCUGAGGAGCAUGCCUCCUAUUCGUCCUCUGCAGCAGGCAGUGUUGUGUCGACUACGUCUGGAUAGCAACUCAUCUCCAUCCUCGCCCCAAGCAGUGUCGCCUCACCUCUACUUCCUCGCCUAAGCGGUACCGCCUAUGGUCUCCGCUUCACCGCCAAUGGUGUUUGUUUUUGUUUCUUGAAGUCUGAUUUACUCAGCAAGGAAGGGAUGUGAUACUGUAUAAUGUUUAUCAGGAGCAUGGUAGCCCAGUGGCAAAAGCUUCUAUGUAUGCAGUUGGAAGUGGAUAAGUGUCAGGCUCUUCCUACAGGAUGUCUACUAGUUCAGUUCUAGUCAUAAACAAAGCCACCAGCCAUCUAUGAUCAAAGGCCACAUAUUCUGCUUUAAAUUGUUUAUCAAGUUUUGAGUUGCUAACCACAUAUGCCACGUGGUUACAUGCUCUGUCUUUAGGCUUCCCAAGGGUACAUAAGUUGAUGGAGUUGUGGAAGAUCUGCAAGCUGCUGGAGGUUUGGAAGACCUACAGUUAAUUUGGUCAAGUGAUAUAUGCCUCGUUUGCUGAACCCAGAGACAUUGGCAAGUUUUCCUAUGCUUAUUUGGUGGUUGUUUUGGUACACAAGCCAUUAUGUGCUCAUUUUGGUUGUGUGACGCAUAUAAAAACAUAUGUACUGAACCUUUUGUGGCACGAGCUCUUUGUAUAUGGUCGUUUCAUACAUGUAUCUAGAAACAUGUGUAUUUGGUCUGGCAUGUGUAAUUGAAUGAAGUUUAAGGUUGAUUGAAGUGUAUGUAUGUGCAAGUUGUGUGGUC
Triticum dicoccoides is the source of this 1543-nucleotide long non-coding RNA. RefSeq lists it as uncharacterized. NCBI's taxonomy places the organism in Eukaryota, Viridiplantae, Streptophyta, Magnoliopsida, Poales, Poaceae. The transcript has 7 exons. The record is from RefSeq and is a predicted model, not a curated record.